Molecule: ribosomal RNA, 253 nt
Filed under: uncultured bacterium
Lineage: Bacteria
Description: partial 16S ribosomal RNA
Rfam family: Bacterial small subunit ribosomal RNA
Source: RNAcentral
UACGUAGGGUGCAAGCGUUAUCCGGAAUUAUUGGGCGUAAAGAGCUCGUAGGCGGUUUGUCGCGUCUGCUGUGAAAACUGGAGGCUCAACCUCCAGCCUGCAGUGGGUACGGGCAAACUAGAGUGCGGUAGGGGAGAUUGGAAUUCCUGGUGUAGCGGUGGAAUGCGCAGAUAUCAGGAGGAACACCGAUGGCGAAGGCAGGUCUCUGGGCAUUAACUGACGCUGAGGAGCGAAAGCAUGGGGAGCGAACAGG